Molecule: ribosomal RNA, 478 nt
Filed under: uncultured bacterium
Lineage: Bacteria
Description: partial 16S ribosomal RNA
Rfam family: Bacterial small subunit ribosomal RNA
Source: RNAcentral
GAUGAACGCUGGCGGCGUGCUUAACACAUGCAAGUCGAACGGGAAUUAUUUUAUUGAAACUUCGGUCGAUUUAAUUUAAUUCUAGUGGCGGACGGGUGAGUAACGCGUGGGUAACCUGCCUUAUACAGGGGGAUAACAGUCAGAAAUGGCUGCUAAUACCGCAUAAGCGCACAGAGCUGCAUGGCUCAGUGUGAAAAACUCAGGUGGUAUAAGAUGGACCCGCGUUGGAUUAGCUGGUUGGUGGGGUAACGGCCCACCAAGGCGACGAUCCAUAGCCGGCCUGAGAGGGUGAACGGCCACAUUGGGACUGAGACACGGCCCAGACUCCUACGGGAGGCAGCAGUGGGGAAUAUUGCACAAUGGGGGAAACCCUGAUGCAGCGACGCCGCGUGAAGGAAGAAGUAUCUCGGUAUGUAAACUUCUAUCAGCAGGGAAGAUAGUGACGGUACCUGACUAAGAAGCCCCGGCUAACUACGUG